UUUCUCAUUUUUUCAGAUAGGAUGAUAUUACGGUAGCCUAGGAUGAGCCUGGAACCUAUUGUCGGGGAGAUCCAGGGCCCAGUCUCCGACCAAGAGAUAUUUUCGGAACUAACGGAAAAAGAAUUUGCCAGGAAAAUAAUUCGUCGACAAAUUCAGGCUGAUCAGAAAGAGGUUUUCCCGGACCCUGCUGGUCUGAAAAGUAUAUACCCGGGCCUGGUUGUUGAAAAAGAAAAGAAAUCAUCUCUAAUUCGUGAACAAGAGUUUUUUCCAUGCCAUACCGCAGAGAGGCCCCAGGGCCCAAAUAUUGUAGAAGUGGAUAUGAUGGGCCAAAACAAGGACUCUAGGCUAGUCCUGGACCCACUUGUAAUAAAUGAAGAAAGUUCUGGGCUAAAUGGAGUUGGAACGAAUACAAAUAUAAUAUGUUCAGACAUUCAUAAAAAAGAAGAAUCAUUUCUUAAUACACACUUGGAAGGGAAAUCUGGACAGAUGGACUCAAAUAUUACUCAAAGUGAAGAUUUAUGCCGCGGAGGUUCCACUAAUGCUGUACCAACACUAACGACCCCUACCCUCACCCCAACCACUCUUAGAAAUAUUGAACAGAUGUUUGCAGAAUCUGAUGUGAGCCUACGUCCCUACCAACACGAAAAUGCUGCGGGGUUUGUGCCACCAAUUGUCAGCCCGACUUCUGGCCAUGUCUACUUUCCUUCGAAUGCCAGUUCUGAUGUGAUGGUAAAGAGAGAAAUCGAUGACAUUAAUUCAGCCUCGGGUUCCAUUUUCUCCCAACCUUUGUCUUUUCCUAAAAUUCCAACUCUUACAUUUUCAUCGGCUCCGGAAAACCUAUCCCGCCCCCGCUCUCUUUCCAUAUCAGCUGUUGGUGAAAACCUAUCCCGCCCUCGUACUCUUUUAAUUGCUUCCGUGGGCGAAAACCUAACCCGCCCUCGUUCCCUAGCCAUUUCUUCAAAUGGUGAACAUCUAUCCCUUCCUCGUUCUCCAGCCAGUUCUUCAAUUGGUGAAAAUCUAUCCCUCCCUCGUUCUCUAGCCAUUCCUUCCGUUGGAGAAAAUCUGUCCCUUCCACGUUCUCUAGCCAUAUCUUCAAUUCCAGAAAACCUAUCCCGCCCUCGCACUCUAUCCAUUUCCUCUGUUGGUGAGAAUCUGUCCCGCCCUGGUUCUCUUGCUAUUUCAUUGUCGGAGGAACCUACUCCCCGGCCUGCGUCACGAACUUUAAAUCGUCCAACGUCUCUGACGAUACCAAGCCCUCAGAAUAUUUUCCAAUUUCGGGAGCAAAGAGGAUUGGGCGAGCAGGCGACGCCAGAAAAUUUAACAGUGUCGAGAAAACAGUUAUUAUCUGUUCCUAAACCUACUACCCGACCCUCUCCCACUAAACCCUAUUCUUCCCUACUCUCUCCCCGCCUCCCAACCAUGCCUAUGCUGUCUCCCCGUCUCCCUACUAUGCCCCUGCUAUCUCCCCGUCUUUCUACUUUUCCCCUUCUCUCCCCCAGACUAUCUCUACCAUCUCCUGUCUCCACCUGUCCUACUCUACCCUCUCCUAGUAGCGGCCUACCUGCGAAAAAUAUAGAAUUUUUAGAAAAAAUCUUAAAGCUUGCUGGAGUAUCUAGUCCUAUGUUGAAUACGCCUACAGUGCCACCGAUAAGUCCGGCCUUUGAGAGUAAACCAAUUGCCGUAUCUCCGCCAGGGUCUCCCUCUCCGCCCGGUCUUCCGCCGUUGUUUACUGAUCCUGAUGAUCCGGCGGAGAAUAAUGGUAAAUCCCCUCCGCCCUACCGGCGGAUUAGUGGCGGAUCAGACCAUUCAGAACACUUGGAGGAUGAUGAUAAGAAACUACUCCGACGUGAGAGGAAUAAACUCGCUGCUGCUCGUUGUAGAAAGCGUAGAACCGACCUAACUAUGACACUACAGGACGAGGUAUUGAAUUGGGAGCAGAAAGUGCGCGGGUUGAAGGAGGAGCUUAUGGAGCUAGAGACCCAGAAACUUGGACUUGAGUCAGUGCUCAACAGGCACGCUGGCCCUUGCAAAGUCCGAAGAAAAUCUUGAUUCUUCCUAUCUUUGAUCCUGAUCCUGAUCCUGAUCCUGGUCCUGGUGUAGUGGCCUGAUCCUAAUUCUGAUCUUGAUCCUGAUACUGGUGUAGUGGCUAGAUCCUGAUCCUUAUCUUGAUCCUCUUGAUCCUGACUUUGAUCCUUGUGGAGUGGCCUGAUCCUGAUCUAGACCCUGACAAUACAACUGUUCGAUGUACAAAAUAAUUCUCUCUAAAUUUCUUAAAACUGACAAAACAGUUGAACACAAGUAAAUUCUGAAAAAAAGAGCUUAUUCAUGAUUCCAACAAAACGAGUAAAAUAUAAAUUCUAAAAUUUAUCAUUGCACUAGAUUAUCCCAAACUUGAUAAAUUCUUUGCAAAAGGAUUAAUUGGUUGCUAGUGAUAUCAAUGAUAUCAGUACUUCCAUGAUCAAUGUUUACUUUCUUUAAUUCGGCAGCUACCACUUCCCCAUACAGAAACAGCCAUUACCACUACUCUAACAUAAAGAUGCUAUUUUUACUACUCUGGCAUCAGCAGCUACUCGAAAAGAAGCAGCAACUCUAAGUGACAGGAGAGGUUGACCGGUUAAAUUUGAUGAUACACCAACUAGUCCUCAAUCUUAUAUCAAUACAAAUUAGCAAUUUUCAGUUGGAAAAUUAGAUUUCUUUUUGAAUAUGAAAUUUUAGUUCAAGAUAAAUAUGCCAAUAUUGAAACUUAAGACUGUUGACAUGUUAUAAAGUCAUAUUUGUGUUUAAGGGGGGUUCAUAUUUUCCUAAAAUUCUGCCUCCCUUCUAAAUAACUAGUUAGCAUUGUGAAAGGGACUGUUAACCUUUCAUUUCUCGAAUGGGAUGUCCGAUUCUCAACGAUACCCUUAAUAGCUUUGUCUGGAUUAAGUAAGAAUUAUUUAUCAAUGUUUUUCUUCUUGAAAACUGAUAAUGUGACUUUCUACUGCAGAAAAAUAUUGAGGAAACUCAGAAUUAAACACUUUAUAAGCUAGAAAUACGACGAUAUCUUCAUUAUUGUUGAUUAGAAAAAGAUGGUAAGACUUAAGAGUACUGUUGUUAAUCGGACAUAAAUUAGAUCCAUGAAAUUAAUCUGUUCCAAGGCGGAAUUCUGGGAAGUAUGUUACCCUCGUAAUUUUUAUAGUAAAUUAAUUUUAUCUGUGUGGAUAGGUUUAGGGCCUAAUCUUGUUCUCUAUAGGAGGAGGUUUGUAACUGUAAAUAGUGGUGUCAGCAAUCAUUAAAUCAAGAAAUAUCAGUCAGUUACUAUUACUAACCCUGGGAUUUUGCAAUACCUUGCUAUUGUUAAAUGUUCUGUAAUCUUAAAAUGUAUUAGCAUUAUUAUUCUAUGGACUUUUUUCUUUUUUUUAAAACGCUUUAUGUUUUUAGAACCUCUUAUCCUUAUCUAUUUUGGGUGAAAAAAAAAUGUAUGCCAUCAUUUUUCCGUCUUCAAAAUGGAAAAUUGUGCAAUUUUACUCCAUACUAAACCAAUGUUUAUGGUAUGUAUUUCUUAAAUAUGAACUAUAUAGUUCUCCUUUCCAUUUAUCUAAAUUUUUUGGUACUAUAAUUCUACCCUUCGAAUUUUUGAUUAUUCUUCACCAUCUUGAGUUUCUCUACUAUUUUGUUUUUCUCCGCCAACUUUAUUUUCGUCCGCCAUUUUGUUCUUCCUCUCACAUCUAAAAAUAAAUUUAAUCUAG
Molecule: unclassified non-coding RNA, 3725 nt
Filed under: Eurytemora carolleeae
Lineage: Eukaryota; Metazoa; Arthropoda; Copepoda; Calanoida; Temoridae
Description: integrator complex subunit 3 homolog
Source: RNAcentral